This 601-nucleotide ribosomal RNA is filed under the name uncultured bacterium. RNAcentral describes it as "bacterial SSU rRNA". It matches the Rfam family "Bacterial small subunit ribosomal RNA", at positions 331 to 923 of the family's 1533-position model. The record is from RNAcentral.
CCAGACUCCUACGGGAGGCAGCAGUAGGGAAUCUUCGGCAAUGGACGGAAGUCUGACCGAGCAACGCCGCGUGAGUGAAGAAGGUUUUCGGAUCGUAAAGCUCUGUUGUAAGAGAAGAACGAGUGUGAGAGUGGAAAGUUCACACUGUGACGGUAUCUUACCAGAAAGGGACGGCUAACUACGUGCCAGCAGCCGCGGUAAUACGUAGGUCCCGAGCGUUGUCCGGAUUUAUUGGGCGUAAAGCGAGCGCAGGCGGUUAGAUAAGUCUGAAGUUAAAGGCUGUGGCUUAACCAUAGUACGCUUUGGAAACUGUUUAACUUGAGUGCAAGAGGGGAGAGUGGAAUUCCAUGUGUAGCGGUGAAAUGCGUAGAUAUAUGGAGGAACACCGGUGGCGAAAGCGGCUCUCUGGCUUGUAACUGACGCUGAGGCUCGAAAGCGUGGGGAGCAAACAGGAUUAGAUACCCUGGUAGUCCACGCCGUAAACGAUGAGUGCUAGGUGUUAGACCCUUUCCGGGGUUUAGUGCCGCAGCUAACGCAUUAAGCACUCCGCCUGGGGAGUACGAACGCAAGGUUGAAACUCAAAGGAAUUGACGGGGGCCCG